AGUUCAAGACCAGCCUGGGCAACAAAGCGAGAUCUCAUCUCUACUAAAAAUAAAAAAAUAAAUCAAUAAAGACAAUGCAGGCAUUGGUUUAUAAUAAUGGUGAUGGCAGUUGACACUGUAUGGUCACCAUGUGGCAGAGGUACAUUAUGUCACAUAGUUCUCAUGGCAACCAUAUUAUGCAGAAACCAUGAUGACAUUCAUUUUACGUUAAGGAAACCGAGACUUCAGAUGUAAUAUGUUGCUCUUCCUCUUCCCUUCCUGAACGACUUAGUCCUAAAGUCAUUUUGUGAGGCCUGAAAAGGUAGGUGUCCACAUGAGGGCAUCUAGAGUGGGGUGCUGGGAUUGCAGGCAUGAGCCUCCAUGUCCAGCUCAAUACAUGUGGAUUUGUGUUUUCACCCGGGGAGCCCCCUAAAGUUCACAUGCCACCCCAGUCGCUGAAACUGAGGGUAUUAUGGCCUUGGCUUCCUGGGCCAGGAAGAGAGAAAUUUCUGGCACCGUGUGAUGUUCCAGCUCCCUGAGGUCCCUCCAGAGUUGACUCUGGAGAUAGCUGCAUUGUGUCUGCAAGGUAUGCUGGAGAGAGUUGGUCUCUUCCCAUAAGACGGGCCAAAGACAGAGGGGCCAGGCUGCAGAGGAGAGAGAAGGGCUGAGCACCCUCAGUUGCAUCUGAGAGUUUAACUUUCUGAUUCUCAGGUAUUUGGAUGAGAGAGAGUUUUUGUUGUUGUUGGUCCUGAAGAGUGUCGGUUAACUAUUUUGUGAUACAGUAUUGUGAUUUAUAAUAAGAGCUACACACUUGGUCUUCAACCCUGUACUGGGCACAGAGCUCGUAAAACGCUUGGAAUUUCCUAAGUGAUUCAUAACAAGCCCCUUUCAACCUGAGUUUCUGCUGAUGAGGUGGCUGGAGGAGACUGAGGGGCUGGA
RNAcentral lists this long non-coding RNA (918 nucleotides) under Homo sapiens (human). RNAcentral describes it as "HSALNT0134475". Lineage: Eukaryota; Metazoa; Chordata; Mammalia; Primates; Hominidae. The record is from RNAcentral.